This 402-nucleotide unclassified non-coding RNA is filed under the name fungal sp. RNAcentral describes it as "partial internal transcribed spacer region". The stretch from base 1 to 46 matches the Rfam family "Eukaryotic small subunit ribosomal RNA", at positions 1786 to 1831 of the family's 1831-position model. Lineage: Eukaryota; Fungi. The record is from RNAcentral.
AAGUCGUAACAAGGUUUCCGUAGGUGAACCUGCGGAAGGAUCAUUAACACGUAUCCAAACGUUAACCCCCUGUGAACCUUCAAUGUGCUCGUACACUUUGUCAAAGCGAGGCAAUCCCUGGUAAAUCAUCGCCGAACAGUUUUGAUUCUGGGACUUCCUCAAAGAGUGUGCAUGUUGCGCGAGGCAAGUGGCCUGGCAUUCCCAAGCAGUUAAUGUCUGAAAGUGUCAUUUGCUGUGUAAGGAUGACGCAGUAACGAUCGUUGGAGGCCGACACGGCCGACGACCGGGUCCCUGGGUCACCAUGCCCCUUAUAAAUCACCACACUGUAACGCCGACAGGUCGCGAUAAUUCCGCUGACCACAAAAAACCGAACAACUGUUAACAAUGGAUAUCUUGGUUCUC